This 385-nucleotide ribosomal RNA is filed under the name uncultured eukaryote. RNAcentral's name for it is "SSU rRNA". It matches the Rfam family "Eukaryotic small subunit ribosomal RNA", at positions 587 to 972 of the family's 1831-position model. The record is from RNAcentral.
AGCUCCAAUAGCGUAUACUAACGUUGUUGCAGUUAAAAGCUCGUAGUUGGAUUUUUAGUUGCGCGGACCGGCCGUGGCCUUUAGUGUCGUGAGCCUGGUUCGUCGUGACUAUUUUGGCCCAGCGUGUCGUUGGCAUUAGUUUGUCGAUGGCUCCGCCAGGUCGAGUUUACUUUGAGAAAAUUAGAGUGUUCAAAACAGUCUUUCGAUUGUAUAUCAUAGCAUGGAAUAAUAACUGAUGACCUCGGUCACCUUUUGUUGGGUUCAGUUGGCUGAGAUAAUGAUUGAUAGGGUUAGUCGGAGGUCUUAGUAUUCUGUCGUUAGAGGUGAAAUUCAUGGAUCGGCAGAAGACUGACAACUGCGAAAGCAUUGAUCUAGGAUUUGCUCU